UGUCCCUGAUCUGGUGAAUGAAGAGUUGAUGCUCUCUCAUCAACCAGGGGCAAACCAACCCUAUUUUUGAAGCAUGGCUUCUGGUCUACAUCGCUGCCUGGUUCAUGCCUUGGGCAUAUUG
Molecule: small nucleolar RNA, 121 nt
Organism: Heterocephalus glaber (naked mole-rat)
Lineage: Eukaryota; Metazoa; Chordata; Mammalia; Rodentia; Bathyergidae
Source: Ensembl